CGAGGGGGCGGCCUAAAACAUGCAAGUCGAGCGGAUGACGGGAGCUUGCUCCUUGAUUCAGCGGCGGACGGGUGAGUAAUGCCUAGGAAUCUGCCUGGUAGUGGGGGACAACGUUUCGAAAGGAACGCUAAUACCGCAUACGUCCUACGGGAGAAAGCAGGGGACCUUCGGGCCUUGCGCUAUCAGAUGAGCCUAGGUCGGAUUAGCUAGUUGGUGGGGUAAUGGCUCACCAAGGCGACGAUCCGUAACUGGUCUGAGAGGAUGAUCAGUCACACUGGAACUGAGACACGGUCCAGACUCCUACGGGAGGCAGCAGUGGGGAAUAUUGGACAAUGGGCGAAAGCCUGAUCCAGCCAUGCCGCGUGUGUGAAGAAGGUCUUCGGAUUGUAAAGCACUUUAAGUUGGGAGGAAGGGCAGUAAGUUAAUACCUUGCUGUUUUGACGUUACCGACAGAAUAAGCACCGGCUAACUCUGUGCCAGCAGCCGCGGUAAUACAGAGGGUGCAAGCGUUAAUCGGAAUUACUGGGCGUAAAGCGCGCGUAGGUGGUUUGUUAAGUUGGAUGUGAAAAGCCCCGGGCUCAACCUGGGAACUGCAUCCAAAAACUGGCAAGCUAUAGUACGGUAGAGGGUGGUGGAAUU
This 639-nucleotide ribosomal RNA is filed under the name Pseudomonas sp. HaBtMKU-1. Its description in RNAcentral is "bacterial SSU rRNA". It matches the Rfam family "Bacterial small subunit ribosomal RNA", at positions 36 to 668 of the family's 1533-position model. Lineage: Bacteria; Pseudomonadati; Pseudomonadota; Gammaproteobacteria; Pseudomonadales; Pseudomonadaceae. The record is from RNAcentral.